This 253-nucleotide ribosomal RNA is filed under the name uncultured bacterium. RNAcentral describes it as "partial 16S ribosomal RNA". It matches the Rfam family "Bacterial small subunit ribosomal RNA", at positions 524 to 776 of the family's 1533-position model. The record is from RNAcentral.
UACGUAGGGACCGAGCGUUGUCCGGAUUCAUUGGGCGUAAAGAGCUCGUAGGCGGCUGCUCAAUUCGAAUGUGAAAACUCGAGGCUCAACCUCGAGCCUGCAUUCGAUACUGGAUGGCUUGAGUUUGGGAGAGGGAUGCGGAAUUCCAGGUGUAGCGGUGAAAUGCGUAGAUAUCUGGAGGAACACCGGUGGCGAAGGCGGCAUCCUGGACCAACACUGACACUGAGGAGCGAAAGCCAGGGGAGCGAACGGG